UACAUACAAGUAUGAAAAAUGUGAAAGAAUAUAUAAACACUCGUGAUUUAUCAUUAUUCCUCCACGAAUAGAUCAUUGUUACACUUAUAUUAUCGUUUAGAUUUUUUAAAUCCUUCAAACCCUCAUAAAUAAUGUUUUUUAUUUGAGGGCAAAAUUAAUAAUAAUUAUUGUAGAAGUGUAAAAAAUGUAAAAAUAUAUAUAUAAAAUCACUCAUAUAUAAAAAAAUGUAAAUGCUUUAAAUUAAAGAUCAAAUUUAUUCAUUACAUUCUUAUAGGGUCGAGGAGUGUAUCUGUAAAAAAUCAUCAAAAUCAGAGAUAAAAUAACCAUUAAAUUAUGAUUUUUCGUUUAUAACCGCUGAAAACUUUUGUUCCAUUACGUAAUCUCUGAAUGUUUGUUUUUUACGAUUUUUUACAUAUUCGAUCUCGGAAUGUGUACAAAUAAGUUUGACGGUUGGAUCGUUAAAAAAAGUUUCAUAGAAUGCAUAUUGCGUCAAAACGGUAGAUUAAGCAAACACUUAGAGUUAAUAUUAUACUUCUAUUAAGUAUAAAAUAGGUUUUUGUGGUAUCCACUAGUGUAAAUACUUUAAAUUAAAGAUCAAAUUUAUUCAUUACAUUCUUAUAGGGUCGAGGAGUAUAUCUGUAAAAAAUCAUCAAAAUCGGAGCUAAAAUAACCGUUAAAUUGUGAUUUUUCGUUUAUAACCGUCGAAACCUUUUGUUCCGUUACUUAAUCUCUGAAUGUUUGUUUUUUAUGAUUUUUUACGUAUUCGAUCUCGGAAUGUGUACAAAUAAGUUUGACGGUUGGAUCGUUGAAAAAAGUUUUGUAGAAUGCAUAUUGCGUCAAAACAGUACAUUAAACAAACACUUAGAGUUAAUAUUAUACUUCUAUUAAGUAUAAAAUAAGUUUUUGUGGUAUCCACUAGUGUAAAUACUUUAAAUUAAAGAUCAAAUUUAUUCAUUACAUUCUUAUAGGGUCGAGGAGUGUAUCUGUAAAAAAUCAUCAAAAUCAGAGAUAAAAUAACCGUUAAAUUGUGAUUUUUCAUUUAUAACCGUCGAAAACUUUCGUUCCAUUACGUAAUCUCUGAAUGUUUGUUUUUUACGAUUUUUUACGUAUGCGAUCUUGGAACGUGUACAAAUAAUUUUGACGGUUGGAUCGUUGAAAAAAGCUUCGUAGAAUGCAUAUUGCAUCAAAAUGGUAGAUUAAACAAACAUUUAGAGUUAAUAUUAUACUUCUAUUAAGUAUAAAAUAAGUUUUUGUGGUAUCCACUAGUGUAAAUACUUUAAAUUAAAGAUCAAAUUUAUUCAUUACAUUCUUAUAGGGUCGAGGAGUGUAUCUGUAAAAAAUCAUCAAAAUCAGAGAUAAAAUAACCGUUAAAUUGUGAUUUUUCGUUUAUAACCGCCGAAAACUUUUGUUCCAUUACGUAAUCUCUGAAUGUUUGUUUUUUACGAUUUUUUACGUAUGCGAUCUCGGAAUGUGUACAACUAAGUUUGACGGUUGGAUCGUUGAAAAAAGUUUCAUAGAAUGCAUAUUGCGUCAAAAUGGUAGAUUAAGCAAACACUUAGAGUUAAUAUUAUACUUCUAUUAAGUAUAAAAUAAGUUUUUUGUGGUAUCCACUAGUGUAAAUACUUUAAAUUAAAGAUCAAAUUUAUUCAUUACAUUCUCAUAUGAUCGAGGAGUGUAUCUGUAAAAAAUCAUCAAAAGCAGAGCUAAAAUAACCGUUAAAUUGUGAUUUUUCGUUUAUAACCGUCGAAAACUUUUGUUCCAUUACGUAAUCUCUGAAUGUUUGUUUUUUAUGAUUUUUUACGUAUGCGAUCUUGGAAUGUGUACAAAUAAGUUUGACGGUUGGAUCGUUGAAAAAAGUUUUGUAGAAUGCAUAUUGCGUCAAAACAGUACAUUAAACAAACACUUAGAGUUAAUAUUAUACUUCUAUUAAGUAUAAAAUAAGUUUUUGUGGUAUCCACUAGUGUAAAUACUUUAAAUUAAAGAUCAAAUUUAUUCAUUACAUUCUUAUAGGGUCGAGGAGUGUUUUUGUAAAAAAUCAUCAAAAUCGGAGCUCAAAUUACCAUUAAAUUGUGAUUUUUCGUUUAUAACCGUUGAAAACUUUUGUUCCGUUAUGUAAUCUCUGAAUGUUUGUUUUUUACGAUUUUUUACGUAUGCGAUCUUGAAAUGUGUACAAAUAAUUUUGACAGUUGGAUCGUUGAAAAAAGUUUCGUAGAAUGCAUAUUGCGUCAAAACGGUAGAUUAAACAAACACUUAGAGUUAAUAUUAUACUUCUAUUAAGUAUAAAAUAAGUUUUUGUGGUAUCCACUAGUGUAAAUACUUUAAAUUAAAGAUCAAAUUUAUUCAUUACAUUCUUAUAGGGUCGAGGAGUGUAUUUGUAAAAAAUCAUCAAGAUCGGAGCUAAAAUAACCGUUAAAUUGUGAUUUUUCGUUUAUAACCGUCGAAAACUUUUGUUCCAUUACGUAAUCUCUGAAUGUUUUUUUUUUAAAGAUUUUUACGUAUGCAAUCUUGGAAUGUGUACAAAUAAGUUUGACGGUUGGAUCGUUGAAAAAAGUUUUUGGACCGCCAGCAAUAGAUAAUUUUGUAGUAGUGAAACCUUAAAUUUAUUUAACCGUUAAUUGUUAUUUACACUUUAUUCUUCUGACUGAAUUUCAUUUUUUAAAAUUUUUAUUUUUUUUUGAAAACAUGAUCAUCUGGUCGAUGUAAGAAGAUGAUAUCACGUUUCGAUAUUUACGAUUAACUGAAAUAUGAGUCAAUGUCAUAUAAUUUGUAGAAACUUUAUAAACAUCAAGCAAUAUUUUCACUAAACGUAGAACUCUAAAUAUAAUAUCAACGAUCCAACGAUCCAAACCGUUCAUCUACCUGAACCCUCUAAUAGAUCAUGUUUUCAAAAAAGAAAAUCUAAAAAAAAGAAAUUUGAUUAGAACAAUGAAGCAUAAAUGUAAACAACAAUCAACGGUUAAAUUUUGAUCUAUGAUUUAUAUGAUUAUAGUGGCGAAUUUCGAAGUUAAGCUCUUCAUGAAAGUUAUAAAGCUUGUCAUUACGAGUGUUUAUAUAUUUUUUUUCUAUAUUUUUUUACACUUCUACAUUAAUUAAAAACUAUUAAAGACUUUAGGUAAGCGAAAAUAUAUUUAAAACAAAAUUGCGUUUUUAUGUUUUGGAUGUGAUAAUAUGAAAUGUAUAUACUUAUUUA
Molecule: long non-coding RNA, 3190 nt
Filed under: Malus domestica (apple)
Lineage: Eukaryota; Viridiplantae; Streptophyta; Magnoliopsida; Rosales; Rosaceae
Description: long non-coding RNA (MDOM_LNC018320)
Source: RNAcentral